RNAcentral lists this ribosomal RNA (253 nucleotides) under uncultured bacterium. RNAcentral describes it as "partial 16S ribosomal RNA". It matches the Rfam family "Bacterial small subunit ribosomal RNA", at positions 524 to 776 of the family's 1533-position model. The record is from RNAcentral.
UACAGAGGCCCCAAGCGUUACUGAGAAUCACUGGGUUUAAAGGGUGCGUAGGUGGCGCGUUAAGUCCGUUGUGAAAUCCCUUGGCUCAACCAAGGAAUGGCUUCGGAUACUGGCGUGCUUGAGGCCGGUAAGGGUCACUGGAACUGACGGUGGAGCGGUGAAAUGCGUAGAUAUCGUCAGGAACGCCGAUGGUGAAGACAGGUGACUGGGCCGGUUCUGACACUGAGGCACGAAAGCGUGGGGAGCGAACGGG